This 245-nucleotide ribosomal RNA is filed under the name uncultured Comamonadaceae bacterium. RNAcentral describes it as "partial 16S ribosomal RNA". It matches the Rfam family "Bacterial small subunit ribosomal RNA", at positions 524 to 768 of the family's 1533-position model. The record is from RNAcentral. Lineage: Bacteria; Pseudomonadati; Pseudomonadota; Betaproteobacteria; Burkholderiales; Comamonadaceae.
UACGUAGGGUGCAAGCGUUAAUCGGAAUUACUGGGCGUAAAGCGUGCGCAGGCGGUGAUGUAAGACAGUCGUGAAAUCCCCGGGCUCAACCUGGGAAUUGCGAUUGUGACUGCAUCGCUGGAGUGCGGCAGAGGGGGAUGGAAUUCCGCGUGUAGCAGUGAAAUGCGUAGAUAUGCGGAGGAACACCGAUGGCGAAGGCAAUCCCCUGGGCCUGCACUGACGCUCAUGCACGAAAGCGUGGGGAG